GCGCAGCAGUCGAGAAACCUUCGCAAUGCGCGCAAGCGCGACGAGGGGAACUCGAGUGCCAUUGUCAUUUUUGAUGAUGGCUUUUCUUGAUCCUAAAAAGAUCAGGGAAUAAAAGCUGGGUAAGACGGGUGCCAGCCGCCGCGGUAAUACCCGCAGCUCAAGUGGUGGCCACUAUUAUUGAGCCUAAAGCGUCCGUAGCCGGUCUUGUAAAUCUCUGGGUAAAUCCUGCCGCUUAACGGUGGGAAUGCUGGAGAGACUGCAAGACUGGGGAUCGGGUGAAGUGAGAGGUACUCCUGGGGUAGGGGUAAAAUCCUGUAAUCCUGGGGGGACGACCGGUGGCGAAGGCGUCUCACUAGAACGACUCCGACGGUGAGGGACGAAGGCUAGGGGAGCAAACCGGAUUAGAUACCCCCGUAGUCC
Molecule: ribosomal RNA, 420 nt
Filed under: uncultured bacterium
Lineage: Bacteria
Description: bacterial SSU rRNA
Rfam family: Archaeal small subunit ribosomal RNA
Source: RNAcentral